GGUGCUCAAACCCUGCCCGUUUCCUGGUGGCUAACCCUCGGUGCUUCCAGCAGUUGCACCUUGCUCCAACCAGUGGCUGCUAGCUCUAGGCCUCAGUGCUCCAGCUCCUGCCAGUGGGUUUCAGGCCGCCCUCCGAGCCCCGACCUUCAUGUUACUGGCCUUUGCGGCAGCCAACGGGAGCGGCAUCAAGCCCUCAUUUUCUCCAUGGUCAUUGGACUGAGAACCUGCUGAGAGGGGUUGCGCCCUUCCCAAGGGCUGCUGUGUUGCGGUGGUUUUUAUCCUGUAUUUACUGUGAGUGUUUGUGUGACGGUGGGCAUUGAGUUUUUUUGUUGUUGUUGUGGCUUCUGUCAAACAAUAUUGCCGACCCUUGUUUUUAUAUUUCUUUUCUCAGGGCCGAGUGCAGGGACGGAGCGUGUUGGGCGACAACAGUGGAGGCUCAAUUUGGGCGUGUUCAAAUUUAGUUUAUAUGUUUUUUGUUGUUUUCCACGUAUGUGCAUGCCACAGAGUGGGGUGUUUUUUGUUUUCUUUGGUUGCCAAUCUCCUCCACAUGGGUCGGCCCAGCGCUCCGUUGGUAAGCCUCGGCCCUCAAAGGGUCUCCUUCCCUUUUUCCCUCCCCAGUGUGAUUGAGUCGUUGUUUAUAACACAUUUUGUAAAUAAAAUUGCUUUUAGCUGGUACCACGUCUUGACAUGUUAAACAGUAA
Oryzias latipes (Japanese medaka) is the source of this 701-nucleotide non-coding RNA. The record is from RefSeq and is a predicted model, not a curated record. NCBI's taxonomy places the organism in Eukaryota, Metazoa, Chordata, Actinopteri, Beloniformes, Adrianichthyidae.